Long non-coding RNA from Erythranthe guttata (spotted monkey flower), 439 nucleotides. RefSeq lists it as uncharacterized. Lineage: Eukaryota; Viridiplantae; Streptophyta; Magnoliopsida; Lamiales; Phrymaceae. The record is from RefSeq and is a predicted model, not a curated record.
UUCAGUUCAAAAUUUCUAAUUUAAUUUCACUCUUAGAAGAUAAGCAUGAGUGAACCUCCAAAGUAUGCUUACCCUUACCCUGCUCAAGGUUAUUACCAAGGACCGCCGGUGGUGGCGCCGCCACAGUAUGUGGCGGCUCCACCUCCACAAAGGAAACCUGGAUUUUUGGAGGGAUGCCUUGCUGCUUUGUGUUGCUGUUGCCUGAUGGACGAAUGCUGUGAUCUGUUAUGUUUUUUCUAGAACGUACAUAUUUGCAGGCUGAAGGUACAACUCUUGUUUUUGUAUAGUAUGCCAAUUUAAAAUGGCUCUGUUGUUGUAAAAUGAUUUACUUUGUAUUAGUUAAUUCAGAGUGGUGGUUGUUUCUUAUAUAUGUAGAUUUUAAGGUAUAAAUCAUAUUUUAUUUGGGUAAAUUACGAAAGCAUCCCUCAUGUUUGGGUAA